This 73-nucleotide transfer RNA is filed under the name Choerodon schoenleinii (blackspot tuskfish). Its description in RNAcentral is "tRNA-Asn". Lineage: Eukaryota; Metazoa; Chordata; Actinopteri; Labriformes; Labridae. The record is from RNAcentral.
UAGAUGGAUGCUCGUUGGCUUGAGCGCUUAGCUGUUAACUAAGAUUUUGCAGGAUCGAGGCCUGCCCGUCUAG